Small nuclear RNA from Colletotrichum gloeosporioides Cg-14, 201 nucleotides. It matches the Rfam family "U2 spliceosomal RNA". From Rfam's summary of the family: U2 is a small nuclear RNA (snRNA) component of the spliceosome (involved in pre-mRNA splicing). Lineage: Eukaryota; Fungi; Ascomycota; Sordariomycetes; Glomerellales; Glomerellaceae. The record is from Rfam.
UUAGCUCUCUAUUGCCUUUUGGCUUAGAUCAAGUGUAGUAUCUGUUCUUUUCAGUUUAAUCUCUGAAAGACCUCCACGGAGGUCAAUCGUGAUUAUUCUUAUUUUUGAUCUCUCGGGAGAGUGGCCUCUGCGGCUUGCCGCAUGCCCUCAUGCCCACCGUGUCCCUGGUAUUUCACUGCCUCCAGGAGACGCGAACACCCC